RNAcentral lists this ribosomal RNA (467 nucleotides) under uncultured bacterium. RNAcentral describes it as "partial 16S ribosomal RNA". It matches the Rfam family "Bacterial small subunit ribosomal RNA", at positions 29 to 507 of the family's 1533-position model. The record is from RNAcentral.
ACGAACGCUGGCGGCGUGCUUCACCCCUGCCAGUCGAACGGAAAGGCCCUGCUUUUGUGGGGUGCUCGAGUGGCGAACGGGUGAGUAACACGUGGGUAACCUGCCCUUGACUUUGGGAUAACUUCAGGAAACUGGGGCUAAUACCGGAUAGGAGCUCCUGCUGCAUGGUGGGGGUUGGAAAGUUUCGGCGGUUGGGGAUGGACUCGCGGCUUAUCAGCUUGUUGGUGGGGUAGUGGCUUACCAAGGCUUUGACGGGUAGCCGGCCUGAGAGGGUGACCGGCCACAUUGGGACUGAGAUACGGCCCAGACUCCUACGGGAGGCAGCAGUGGGGAAUAUUGCACAAUGGGCGGAAGCCUGAGGCAGCAACGCCGCGUGCGGGAUGACGGCCUUCGGGUUGUAAACCGCUUUCGCCUGUGACGAAGCGUGAGUGACGGUAAUGGGUAAAGAAGCACCGGCUAACUACGUG